UACGUAGGGUGCGAGCGUUGUCCGGAAUUAUUGGGCGUAAAGAGCUUGUAGGCGGUCUGUCGCGUCUGCUGUGAAAAUCCGGGGCUCAACCCUCGAAUGCCGGUGGAUACUGUCGGGCUAGAGUGCGGAAGAGGCGAGUGGAAUUCCGGGUGUAGUGGUGAAAUGCGUAGAGAUCCGGAGGAACCCCAGAGGCGAAGGCGGCGCUCUGGCUCGCAACUGACGCUCAGACACGACAGCAUGGGGAGCGAACGGG
Molecule: ribosomal RNA, 253 nt
Filed under: uncultured bacterium
Lineage: Bacteria
Description: partial 16S ribosomal RNA
Rfam family: Bacterial small subunit ribosomal RNA
Source: RNAcentral